AUUCCAGCUCCAAUAGCGUAUAUUAAAGUUGUUGCGGUUAAAAAGCUCGUAGUUGGAUUUCUGCCGAGGAUGACCGGUCCGCCCUGUGGGUGUGCAUCUGGCUCAGCCUUGGCAUCUUCCUGAAGAACGUAGCUGCACUUGACUGUGUGGUGCGGUAUUUAGGACAUUUACUUUGAGGAAAUUAGAGUGUUUCAAGCAAGCGCACGCUUUGAAUACAUUAGCAUGGAAUAAUGGAAUAGGACAUCGGUCUUAUUUUGUUGGUUUCUAAGGCCGAGGUAAUGAUUAAUAGGGAUAGUUGGGGGUGUUUAUAUUCCGUUGUCAGAGGUGAAAUUCUUGGAUUUACGGAAGAUAAACUACUGCGAAAGCAUUCGCCAAGGAUGUUUUCAUCA
This 389-nucleotide ribosomal RNA is filed under the name Biecheleria sp. RNAcentral's name for it is "partial small subunit ribosomal RNA". It matches the Rfam family "Eukaryotic small subunit ribosomal RNA", at positions 582 to 975 of the family's 1831-position model. Lineage: Eukaryota; Dinophyceae; Suessiales; Biecheleriaceae. The record is from RNAcentral.